Molecule: ribosomal RNA, 487 nt
Filed under: uncultured rumen bacterium
Lineage: Bacteria
Description: bacterial SSU rRNA
Rfam family: Bacterial small subunit ribosomal RNA
Source: RNAcentral
AUGCAAGUCGAACGGGAUCGCCGAGUUAGCAAUAAUGAGGCGUGAGAGUGGCGGAUUGGGGAGGAACACGUGAGCAACCUGCCCUGGAGAUGGGGAAAACCUCGGGAAACUGAGGCUAAUACCGAAUGUGGCGCUCUGCGGCAUCGCAGGGACGCUGAAGGGGGCCGCAAGGCUCCCGCUCCGGGAUGGGCUCGCGCAUCAUCAGCUGGUUGGCGGGGUAACGGCCCACCAAGGCGUACGAUUAGCUGGUCUGAGAGGAUGGCCAGCCCCACUGGGACUGAGAUACUGCCCAGACUCCUACGGGAGGCUGCAGUCGAGGAUCAUUCGCAAUGGACGGAAGUCUGACGAUGCGACGCUGCGUGGAGGAUGAAGGUCUUCGGAUCGUAAACUCCUGUCAUGAGGGAAAAGGCGAGGGGGCCCCAUACGCUCCUUGGUUGAUGGUUACUCAAGAGGAAGGGACGGCUAACUCUGUGCCACCAGCCGCGGU